Molecule: non-coding RNA, 315 nt
Filed under: Pongo abelii (Sumatran orangutan)
Lineage: Eukaryota; Metazoa; Chordata; Mammalia; Primates; Hominidae
Source: RNAcentral
GGAAAGUUCUAGAAGCAGUAAGGAAGCCAGGCAGAAGUUGGGAGCGACUGAGCCACUCCAGGAGGAGGUGUGGGCCAAUGGCGUGUUGGAGGUGGAGCCACAGGACCCGUCCAUAGGUUGGAUGGAGUGUGGGUGACAGAGGUAAACCAGGGCUCUCGGCCUGGGCAGCAGGACAGGUGGAGUCAUCCUCACCUGUGCUGGGGACUCUGUGGGAGCAGCAGGCUUCCGAGCACGUGUUGGACCCCGGCGUCUCUGGCUGCACCGAGGGGUCAGGGCAGGGACAUUGAGGCCGCGUCAGGGAGCGUGAGAUACAGG